This 333-nucleotide long non-coding RNA is filed under the name Numida meleagris (helmeted guineafowl). Its description in RNAcentral is "lncRNA (ENSNMEG00000003883.1)". The record is from RNAcentral. Lineage: Eukaryota; Metazoa; Chordata; Aves; Galliformes; Numididae.
GUUCCAUAGGGUCCCAGUUUGGGGGUGUCCCAGUUUGGGGGUGUCCCAGUUCCAUAGGGUCCCAGUUUGGGGGGGAUCCCAGUUCAAUAGGAUCCCAGUUUGGGGGUGAUCCCACUUUGGGGGUGUCCCAGUUUCAGGUGAUCCCAGUCCCAUAGGGUCCCAGUUUGGGGGGGAUCCCAGUUUGGGGGGGUCCCAGUUUUGGGGGUCCCAGUCCCAUAGGGUCCCAGUUUGGGGGCGACCCCAGUUUGGGGGUGUCCGAGUUUUGGGGGUCCCAGUUCCAUAGGGUCCCAGUUUGGGGGGGAUCCCAGUUUGGGGGGGGUUCCCAGUUUGGGG